RNAcentral lists this long non-coding RNA (924 nucleotides) under Malus domestica (apple). RNAcentral describes it as "long non-coding RNA (MDOM_LNC007176)". The record is from RNAcentral. Lineage: Eukaryota; Viridiplantae; Streptophyta; Magnoliopsida; Rosales; Rosaceae.
AAAGUAAAAGCAAGCAAGUCUUUUGGAGAAAUAGAAAAGGUCUUAAAACCUCAAGCCCAUCAUUCUCACCCUCCAGCUGCUCAUUCUUCUUAAGCAGACUAACACAGACGCGCUGCAACUCAUCCACUCCCUUCUUAGCAUAAGCAGCGAAACGAAGCUCAUAAAUUGCAAGCUUAAGAUCUUGAAUCUGAGGCGAAUCAAUCUCAGCAGCAAAGGAAGCAGGCUUUGGCGCCACUUUAGCAGCAGAGUCCACCUUACCACUCUUCAUAAUAGCAAGUCUCUACAAAGGUGAACCAGACUUGGCUCCCAAAGAACGUCCUGAUACAGACUUCGGCACUGGAGGCAUGAUAAAACCUUUACGCUGAGCAAUCUUAUCCACAAUUGUACUAGCCAUUCUCAACAUGGAAGACGCCACAUGCUCAGAUCUAGCAGCCUUAUUUUUCUUCCCAUUAGAAGAAGUCAUGUCAAUCACAUACCUCUCGGUAGCAAGCGGACCCUCAUGAGCAGCAGAAGAAGUCUUCAGUUUUUUCUUAACUAGGCAUCUCAUGAGCAGGCGGGGAAGAUCUCUUCUUUACAUCUUCAUUCAUAGUAAGCUCCACGACAGCGAUCAGACGAGCCAAUGCAUCCGCCUUGAUCCUCUUUACCUCAUAUUUCUGGAGUAGCCCACCUUUCUUUCAGCAAAGAAGACUAAGCAGCCAACGACAUUCAUGGUACUGAGUAGGGGAGCUCAACCCAGCAUUCCAGCAGGCAGAAGGCCUGCAUGCCCAACAUUCCAGCAGCCCAUGAGACCCGCAAUCUCCUUAUUUCUCUCAAUCGCCAACCUGGCCCGAGUCAGGUCCAAGGGCCCAAAGGACAUGAGCCAUGCGGCUCGCCUAACACUGUGCCCUAGCGCCACAAUCAUCGACCCCAGCUGCACAAGCUGCC